This is a long non-coding RNA of Pangasianodon hypophthalmus (striped catfish), 1786 nucleotides long. RefSeq lists it as uncharacterized. The transcript is spliced from 3 exons. NCBI's taxonomy places the organism in Eukaryota, Metazoa, Chordata, Actinopteri, Siluriformes, Pangasiidae. The record is from RefSeq and is a predicted model, not a curated record.
ACACACACACACACACACUUUUAAGGGCGGUGUCCACGCCUCUAACUCAUACAGCAACCGAAAAAACCCAACACAACAGCAGCAACCCUCACAACGAAGUAAGUCUGCUAGAGUAAAAGGCGGAUAUUUUCCAUUUCCAUUUCCAUCUCUCUCUCUCUCUCUCUUUCUCUCUCUGUGGACACACACCUGAAAUAAACUUUAUUCCAGAGCGAAUUAUGAGGAACUAGAAGAGACCAGCAGCCAUUAAAAAGCGGAAACAGGAAAAGCGGAAAUUGACAACAGUCUGGAAUCUUCUAUUGCUUUCUAGUAGUUGAUAAGGUUGAGAGAUCUCCAGGUCAACCUCCAUUUGAUUGCUGGUAGGAUGGGAGAAAAUGAUCAAUGGCUGCCGAAGCCUGUCUCAUCUCCCCACACCAGCUGGCUGAAAGAGUGUCUGCGGAAUUAUCUGGGGCCUCGGCGUGGUGUGGAACAUGAAGUUCACACUGAUCACGCAACGCACCAUUCCUUUUGUUCCAGAAAGCUUUUAAUUGUGGCUUUUCUUGCCAUGUUGGCUCUGGCUGUCAUGGGGCUUCUGCUGUUCUGGAACUACCAGUGCAUCUUUGUGUGGCACCUGUGCUAUGAAGACGAGGAAGUCUCCAGCAACUCUGCAUUUGGAGAUGAAUGAAGGGAACUGCGAGGGAAGAAAAUGUAUCUUAAGAACACAUGGAUUGUACAGUAAACACACAAAUGUCUUAACUUAAUGAAAAUGUAGUGAUGCAUGGAAGUCUUGUCAGGGAUUUUGCACCAUUGAUGCAUUAAUGCUGCUGCUUACUUUUUGUUUUUGAAAACUUUGAAGCAUAGUUGUGCAAUACAGCCUUGUGAUUCAAUGUGUCUCUUUAUAAUGACAAUAAUUCACUCAGUGUAGUUACUGUGGUCACAGUUUAGCCUUGCAUUUAUUGUAACCUCUCAGGUUUGCCUGCAUUGUGUGCCUUGGAUUAAAGUUUGUGAGAUACAGACUGGAGAUAAGUUAAAGGAAUAACCAAAAUAAAGUGUCGUCCUAAGAUAGUGAGCCACCACAAGCCACCAGAACAGAUUCAGUGUGUGCCUUGGCAUUGAUCCUACAAGUCUCUGGAACUGUACUGGAGCAAUGAACGCUGUCCUUCCCAAAGAUUUUUGUGUUUUGAUGAUGGUGCUGGAGAGUGCUGUGUAGUGACUGAUCUGAUCUGGUGACUGUGAAGGCCAUAGCAUAUAAUUUUCAUUAUUUUCAUCUUCAUCUAAGUGCCUAGAUGGGAUGGGGGCGGAGUCAUACUUUAAGAGACCACGCCCAUCAGUUUAGAAACAUUUCUUCAUAAGUUAAACCUGAUAAGUCAGAAGAACUUUUGAGGGAUUUGUGACGAUGCUUCUAAACGGGACAACUGCCUCCAAACUAUGACAGCAAAAUAAAUAAAUGCCCCCCACAGUGUUACAGAACUACUGUUUUUUCCUUUCACUUGUCACCUGUCUGUGUGUGUGUGUGUGUGUUUAUUUAAAGCUCUAGGAAACUGUAUAUAAAGCUUCGAUAAAAAAAUAAUUAAUUUCCAAAUCAUACACAGCACACACUGUACCAUUGUACUGUUAAGUCUGUAAUGGCUAUAUUGCAAGCACUGCCUUUUAAUGAUUUCAUUGGAUCAAUGGAUUGAACUGCUGCCUAAUAGCAACUUCUGUGCUCCACAAGAGGGAGGUGAUGACCACAAGAAAAGCAUGUGAACUCUCUGUAUUUCUGAAUGUGAUCUUGUUCAAUAAUACAUGAAUAAAUAUCAUAUUUUAAAUA